RNAcentral lists this long non-coding RNA (600 nucleotides) under Triticum aestivum (bread wheat). Its description in RNAcentral is "long non-coding RNA (TAES_LNC003947)". Lineage: Eukaryota; Viridiplantae; Streptophyta; Magnoliopsida; Poales; Poaceae. The record is from RNAcentral.
AAAUUUCUCAGCUACGACUGGCCAACCAACCAAGUCCUCUCGUUGCUCCAAGUCUUAUCAGCAUCUCGUCCUGGCCAAACAAAAUGAGAACACCGCCCGGUGCCCGCCAGAAAACCGGCUAAGGAAAGUCCGUCUAGUAUAGCUCCUCGCUGCAAAGCUCAAUGGCCUUGCAUCUGGCUUGCGGCAUGGGGUGCUGCUUCUCUCGGUUGGACGGCCGGCGCCGAAGGCUACUCGUCAUGGGGAGACGCCAGCGUCAGGGGCAGCUACUGUCCGGAACUACAUCGAGUGGGAUGGUAAGCUAAGGUGUACGUACGUACUAUCAUUUCCGAAACUUGAUUUUCAUUCUUAUGCACCUGCUGGGUCAUUCAUUGUUCGCACAACUAAUUAAUCAGGCUUAGCGGCUACUCGUCAGGAACGUCCGCCACCCGCGGAGUCCCGCCGUCGAGCCGCACCAUCGCAAGCCGAGGAGCACCGCUGCCACCCACCGACGCCCAAGCAGAGGGAGGCCACACACGGGGACAGGCAGGCUCGCCGCUGCCGGCACCACGCGCGCAGGCGGCGGCGGGAGGAGGGAGGAGCGCUGGGGGGAACGGGAAAGGG